AGUGGGAUAGCUGGGUCAAAUUGUAGUACCAUUCUAACUUUUCUAAGGAAUCUCCUUACUGCUUUCCAUAUUGGCUGCACCAAUUUGCAGUCCCACCAGCAAU
This 103-nucleotide microRNA precursor is filed under the name Marmota monax (woodchuck). The record is from RNAcentral. Lineage: Eukaryota; Metazoa; Chordata; Mammalia; Rodentia; Sciuridae.